GACGGAGGAUGCAAGUGUUAUCCGGAAUCGCUGGGCGUAAAGCGUCUGUAGGUGGUUUAAUAAGUCAACUGUUAAAUCUUGAGGCUCAACCUCAAAAUCGCAGUCGAAACUAUUAGGCUAGAGUAUAGUAGGGGUAAAGGGAAUUUCCAGUGGAGCGGUGAAAUGCGUAGAGAUUGGAAAGAACACCGAUGGCGAAGGCACUUUACUGGGCUAUUACUAACACUCAGAGACGAAAGCUAGGGUAGCAAAUGGG
Molecule: ribosomal RNA, 253 nt
Filed under: uncultured bacterium
Lineage: Bacteria
Description: partial 16S ribosomal RNA
Rfam family: Bacterial small subunit ribosomal RNA
Source: RNAcentral